AUAUUCUACCUGGCAGGGGAGACACCAUGAACAAGAAGGUGGUUCACCCAGGGCGAGGCUCGGCCAUUGCACUCCGGCCGUGCUGACCCCUGCAAACUCCCCAAAUGUGGGCCGACAGGCAUGGGGGGUAUUCCCCAU
Small nuclear RNA from Sinocyclocheilus anshuiensis, 138 nucleotides. Its record names the gene U1. It matches the Rfam family "U1 spliceosomal RNA". Rfam says of the family: U1 is a small nuclear RNA (snRNA) component of the spliceosome (involved in pre-mRNA splicing). Its 5' end forms complementary base pairs with the 5' splice junction, thus defining the 5' donor site of an intron. The record is from Ensembl. Lineage: Eukaryota; Metazoa; Chordata; Actinopteri; Cypriniformes; Cyprinidae.